AAUCUUCCGCAAUGGACGAAAGUCUGACGGAGCAACGCCGCGUGAGUGAUGAAGGUCUUCGGAUCGUAAAACUCUGUUGUUAGGGAAGAACAAGUAUCGUUCGAAUAGGGCGGUACCUUGACGGUACCUAACCAGAAAGCCACGGCUAACUACGUGCCAGCAGCCGCGGUAAUACGUAGGUGGCAAGCGUAUCCGGAAUUCUUGGGGGUAAAGGCCGCGGAGGGCGUUUUUUAAGUCCUGUGGGAAAGGCCACGGGCCAACCCGGGAGGGUCAAUUGAAACUUGGAAGGUUGAGGGCAGAAGAGGAGAGUGGAAUUCCAUGUGUAGCGGUGAAAUGCGGAGAGAUAUGGGGGAACACCAGUGGCGAAGGCGACUCUCUGGUCCGCAACUGACGCUGAGGCGCGAAAGCGUGGGGAGCGAACA
RNAcentral lists this ribosomal RNA (422 nucleotides) under uncultured bacterium. RNAcentral's name for it is "partial 16S ribosomal RNA". It matches the Rfam family "Bacterial small subunit ribosomal RNA", at positions 360 to 774 of the family's 1533-position model. The record is from RNAcentral.